GUAUGGUGGGUUUGGUUCUAUUCCCACUACGCCGCGUGUGGAGGCCGAGCCCGGCACAGCCCAGGAAGAGUGGAGAGCGUGGUGUCCUCCCCGGGGCUGGGUUGUGGGCAUCUCGACGGCUCGAGGGAUUCAGGGACGUUUAGUCGGGAGAGGAGGGCAGACCCUCCCAGGGGAGGCGGCUCGCGGGUCCGCGGCCACUACUUGGGAGGCCCAGGGUUCCUGAGCAGAAGGGAAAAUGAGCUUAAACAUGAGGCUUGGAGGAGAAAGAAGGGCUGGGGAGAAAUAUGGUUAUUCAGUCAGUCAGUUCAGUCACUCAGUCGUGUCCAACUCUUUGUGACCCCAUGGACUGCCGCACACCAGGCUUUCCUGUCCAUCACCAACUCUUGGAGCUUGCUCAAACUCAUGUCCAUCGAGUUGCUGAUGCUAUCACUUUAUUGGUUAUUACAAGAUAUUGAAUACAGUUCCCUGUGCCAUGCAGUAAAUCCUUAUUUUUUAAUCUAUUUUAUAUAUAGUUGUGUAUAUCUGCUAAUCCCAAAUUCCUAAUUUAUCCCUCCCCCUUUCUCCCCUUUGGUAAACCAUAAACUUGUUUUCUGUAUCUGUGAGUCUAUUUCUGUUUUGUAUGCAAGUUCAUUUGUAUCAUAUUUUUAGAUUCCACAUGUAAGUGAUAUAAUGUUUGUCUUUGACUUCAUGAAGUAUGAUAAUCUGUAUGUCCAUCUAUGUUGCUGUAAAUGAUGUUAUUUCAUUCUUUUUUAUGGCUGGAUAAUAAUACACAUAUAUAUCACAUCUUCUUUAUCCAUUCAUCUAUUGAUGGACAUCUAGGUUGCUUCCAGCUAUUGGCUAUUGGAAAUCAUGGUGCUAUGAACACAGGGUGCAUGUAUCUUUUUGAAUGAGAGUUUUCAUCUUUUCUGGAUUUACACUGAGGAAUGAGAUUGAUGAAUACUAUGGUAACUCUCUUUUUAGUUUGUAAAGGAACCUCUAUACUGUUCUCCAUAGUGGCUACACUGGUUUACAUUCCCACCAACGUGUAAGAAUGUUUUUUUUUCUCUGUACCCUCUCUAGCACUUGUUAUUUGUACACUUCACGAUGAUGGCCAUUCUGACCAGUGUGAGGUGAUACCUCAUUUUAAUUUGCAUUUCUCUAAUAAUUGGUGAUGUGAAGUAUCAUUUCAUGUGCCUGAUAACCAUCUGUAUGUCUUCUUUGGGUAAAUGUUUAUUUAGGUCUUCUGGUCAUUUUUCUGUUGGGUUGUUUUUGUUUUAGGGUUUUUUUUUUAAAUAUCAAGCUGUAUAAGCUGUUUGUGUUUUUGGAAAUUAAUCCCUCAUCUGUCACAUAAUUUGCAAAUAUUUUCUCCCAUUCCAUAGAUUUUUGUUUUGUAUAUGGUUUCCUUUGCUGUGCAAAAGCUAAGUUUAAUUAGAUCCCAUUCAUUUAUUUUUGCUUUUGUUUUUAUUACUGUAGGCAAUGGGUGCAAAAAAAAUACUACAGCACUUUAUGUCAGAGUGUUCUGCCUAUGAUUUCCUCUAGGGGUUUUAUAAUAUCUGGUCUUACAUUUGGGUCUUUAAUACAUCUUGAGUUUAUUUUUGUAUAUAGUGUUAGAGAAUGUUCUAAUUUAAUUCUUUUACACAUAGCUGUCUAGUUCUCCCAACGCGACUUAUUGAAGACAGAAUCUUUUCUGCAUUGUGUGUUCUUGCCUUCUUUGUCAUAGGUUAAUUGACUGUAAAUGUAUGGGUUUAUUUCUGAGCUUUCUUUUUUUUUAAUUAAUUUUAAUUGGAAUAUAGUUGCUUUACAAUGUUGUGUUAGUUUCUGAAAAGUGAAAGUGUUAGUUGCCCAGUUGUGUCCGACUCUUUGCAACCCCAUGGUCUGUAGCUUGCCAGGCUCCUC
Long non-coding RNA from Bos taurus (domestic cattle), 1875 nucleotides. The record is from Ensembl. NCBI's taxonomy places the organism in Eukaryota, Metazoa, Chordata, Mammalia, Artiodactyla, Bovidae.